GCCAGACUCCUACGGGAGGCAGCAGUGGGGAAUAUUGGGCAAUGGGCGCAAGCCUGACCCAGCAACGCCGCGUGAAGGAAGAAGGCUUUCGGGUUGUAAACUUCUUUUAAGAGGGAAGAGUAGAAGACGGUACCUCUUGAAUAAGCCACGGCUAACUACGUGCCAGCAGCCGCGGUAAUACGUAGGGGGCAAGCGUUAUCCGGAUUUACUGGGUGUAAAGGGAGCGUAGACGGCAGUGCAAGUCCGGAGUGAAAGCCCGGGGCUCAACCCUGGGACUGCUCUGGAAACUGUAAAGCUGGAGUGCGGGAGGGGCAGGCGGAAUUCCUGGUGUAGCGGUGAAAUGCGUAGAUAUCAGGAGGAACUCCGGCGGCGAAGGCGGCCUGCUGGACCGUAACUGACGUUGAGGCUCGAAAGCGUGGGGAGCAAACAGGAUUAGAUACCCCCGUAA
RNAcentral lists this ribosomal RNA (448 nucleotides) under uncultured bacterium. Its description in RNAcentral is "partial 16S ribosomal RNA". It matches the Rfam family "Bacterial small subunit ribosomal RNA", at positions 330 to 793 of the family's 1533-position model. The record is from RNAcentral.